This 449-nucleotide ribosomal RNA is filed under the name uncultured bacterium. RNAcentral describes it as "partial 16S ribosomal RNA". It matches the Rfam family "Bacterial small subunit ribosomal RNA", at positions 338 to 795 of the family's 1533-position model. The record is from RNAcentral.
CCUACGGGGGGCAGCAGUGGGGAAUAUUGGACAAUGGGGGCAACCCUGAUCCAGCAAUGCCGCGUGUGUGAAGAAGGCCUGCGGGUUGUAAAGCACUUUCAGUAGGGAAGAAAAGCUCGGGGCUAAUACCUCCGGGUCUUGACGUUACCUAAAGAAGAAGCACCGGCUAACUCCGUGCCAGCAGCCGCGGUAAUACGGAGGGUGCGAGCGGUAAUCGGAAUUACGGGGCGUAAAGCGUAAGGAGGAGGUGAAAGCCCUGGGCUUAACCUGGGAACUGCAUUCGUGACUGCCCGGCUAGAGUAUGGGAGAGGGAAGCGGAAUUUCCGGUGUAGCGGUGAAAUGCGUAGAUAUCGGAAGGAACACCGAUGGCGAAGGCAGCUUCCUGGCCCAAUACUGACGCUGAGGUGCGAAAGCGUGGGGAUCAAACAGGAUUAGAUACCCUUGUAGUC